Molecule: ribosomal RNA, 253 nt
Filed under: uncultured bacterium
Lineage: Bacteria
Description: partial 16S ribosomal RNA
Rfam family: Bacterial small subunit ribosomal RNA
Source: RNAcentral
AACGUAGGAGGCAAGCGUUAUCCGGAAUUACUGGGCGUAAAGCGCGUGUAGGCGGAUGCGCAAGUCAUUUGUGAAAGCUCCUGGCUAAACUGGGAGAGGUCGAAUGAGACUGGGUAUCUGGAGUGCGGAAGAGGGGUGUGGAAUUCCGGGUGUAGUGGUGAAAUGCGUAGAUAUCCGGAGGAACACCAGUGGCGAAGGCGGCACCCUGGUCCGCAACUGACGCUAAGACGCGAAAGCAUGGGGAGCGAACGGG